CUACGGGUUGCUGCAGUGAGGAAUAUUGCACAAUGGGGGGAACCCUGAUGCAGCAACGCCGCGUGGAGGAUGACGCAUUUCGGUGUGUAAACUCCUUUUAUAUGUCAAGAAAAUGACGGUAGCAUAUGAAUAAGCACCGGCUAACUCCGUGCCAGCAGCCGCGGGUAAUACGGAGGGUGCAAGCGUUACUCGGAAUCACUGGGCGUAAAGGACGCGUAGGCGGGUUGGAAAGUCAGGUGUGAAAUCCUACAGCUUAACUGUAGAACUGCACUUGAAACUUCUAAUCUAGAGUAUGGGAGGGGGAGAUGGAAUUAGCGGUGUAGGGGUAAAAUCCGUAGAUAUCACUAGGAAUACCUAAAGCGAAGGCGAUCUCCUGGAACAUUACUGACGCUAAGGCGUGAAAGCGUGGGGAGCAAACAGGAUUAGAUACCCCUGUAGUC
This 440-nucleotide ribosomal RNA is filed under the name uncultured bacterium. RNAcentral describes it as "partial 16S ribosomal RNA". It matches the Rfam family "Bacterial small subunit ribosomal RNA", at positions 339 to 795 of the family's 1533-position model. The record is from RNAcentral.